Molecule: long non-coding RNA, 367 nt
Organism: Rhipicephalus microplus (southern cattle tick)
Lineage: Eukaryota; Metazoa; Arthropoda; Arachnida; Ixodida; Ixodidae
Source: RefSeq, a predicted model, not a curated record
UACUUCUUGCAGGUUCACUUAUACAAACCAUUCUGGCUUUCUCAGCCACGUCGAACACUCGUGAUCUUCUCAGAGUGGCUGACAAGGCGAACGCCGACCAGUACGCCAUGCAGUUCCUGCAUGGCUUGCGUUUCGUGUGCGUCGUGCACAUUGUGAUGUGUCACUUCUACACCUGCCUGUCGGACUCUUGGUCAAGUUUGCAGACACCCUUCGCUGAUUCCGACGAAUGGAGCCACAUGUUAGUAGCAGCCGGGUCAAACUUCGUCGGAACCUUCUUUUUUCUCAGUGGAUUUCUUCUGUGCUUUAGUACCAGCCGAGUAAGGACCAACGGACCAGCAUAUUUCCUUACCAAUGUGGCGAAAAGGUG